This 255-nucleotide ribosomal RNA is filed under the name Salmonella enterica subsp. enterica serovar Senftenberg. RNAcentral describes it as "partial 16S ribosomal RNA". It matches the Rfam family "Bacterial small subunit ribosomal RNA", at positions 342 to 589 of the family's 1533-position model. Lineage: Bacteria; Pseudomonadati; Pseudomonadota; Gammaproteobacteria; Enterobacterales; Enterobacteriaceae. RNAcentral also lists the same sequence under 1 other name. The record is from RNAcentral.
CGGGAGGCAGCAGUGGGGAAUAUUGCACAAUGGGCGCAAGCCUGAUGCAGCCAUGCCGCGUGUAUGAAGAAGGCCUUCGGGUUGUAAAGUACUUUCAGCGGGGAGGAAGGUGUUGCGGUUAAUAACCGCAGCAAUUGACGUUACCCGCAGAAGAAGCACCGGCUAACUCCGUGCCAGCAGCCGCGGUAAUACGGAGGGUGCAAGCGUUAAUCGGAAUUACUGGGCGUAAAGCGCACGCAGGCGGUCUGUCAAGUC